This 2904-nucleotide ribosomal RNA is filed under the name Escherichia coli. RNAcentral describes it as "bacterial LSU rRNA". It matches the Rfam family "Bacterial large subunit ribosomal RNA". Lineage: Bacteria; Pseudomonadati; Pseudomonadota; Gammaproteobacteria; Enterobacterales; Enterobacteriaceae. The record is from RNAcentral.
UUAAGCGACUAAGCGUACACGGUGGAUGCCCUGGCAGUCAGAGGCGAUGAAGGACGUGCUAAUCUGCGAUAAGCGUCGGUAAGGUGAUAUGAACCGUUAUAACCGGCGAUUUCCGAAUGGGGAAACCCAGUGUGAUUCGUCACACUAUCAUUAACUGAAUCCAUAGGUUAAUGAGGCGAACCGGGGGAACUGAAACAUCUAAGUACCCCGAGGAAAAGAAAUCAACCGAGAUUCCCCCAGUAGCGGCGAGCGAACGGGGAGCAGCCCAGAGCCUGAAUCAGUGUGUGUGUUAGUGGAAGCGUCUGGAAAGGCGCGCGAUACAGGGUGACAGCCCCGUACACAAAAAUGCACAUACUGUGAGCUCGAUGAGUAGGGCGGGACACGUGGUAUCCUGUCUGAAUAUGGGGGGACCAUCCUCCAAGGCUAAAUACUCCUGACUGACCGAUAGUGAACCAGUACCGUGAGGGAAAGGCGAAAAGAACCCCGGCGAGGGGAGUGAAAAAGAACCUGAAACCGUGUACGUACAAGCAGUGGGAGCACAGAGCAAUCUGUGUGACUGCGUACCUUUUGUAUAAUGGGUCAGCGACUUAUAUUCUGUAGCAAGGUUAACCGAAUAGGGGAGCCGAAGGGAAACCGAGUCUUAACUGGGCGUUAAGUUGCAGGGUAUAGACCCGAAACCCGGUGAUCUAGCCAUGGGCAGGUUGAAGGUUGGGUAACACUAACUGGAGGACCGAACCGACUAAUGUUGAAAAAUUAGCGGAUGACUUGUGGCUGGGGGUGAAAGGCCAAUCAAACCGGGAGAUAGCUGGUUCUCCCCGAAAGCUAUUUAGGUAGCGCCUCGUGAAUUCAUCUCCGGGGGUAGAGCACUGUUUCGGCAAGGGGGUCAUCCCGACUUACCAACCCGAUGCAAACUGCGAAUACCGGAGAAUGUUAUCACGGGAGACACACGGCGGGUGCUAACGUCCGUCGUGAAGAGGGAAACAACCCAGACCGCCAGCUAAGGUCCCAAAGUCAUGGUUAAGUGGGAAACGAUGUGGGAAGGCCCAGACAGCCAGGAUGUUGGCUUAGAAGCAGCCAUCAUUUAAAGAAAGCGUAAUAGCUCACUGGUCGAGUCGGCCUGCGCGGAAGAUGUAACGGGGCUAAACCAUGCACCGAAGCUGCGGCAGCGACGCUUAUGCGUUGUUGGGUAGGGGAGCGUUCUGUAAGCCUGCGAAGGUGUGCUGUGAGGCAUGCUGGAGGUAUCAGAAGUGCGAAUGCUGACAUAAGUAACGAUAAAGCGGGUGAAAAGCCCGCUCGCCGGAAGACCAAGGGUUCCUGUCCAACGUUAAUCGGGGCAGGGUGAGUCGACCCCUAAGGCGAGGCCGAAAGGCGUAGUCGAUGGGAAACAGGUUAAUAUUCCUGUACUUGGUGUUACUGCGAAGGGGGGACGGAGAAGGCUAUGUUGGCCGGGCGACGGUUGUCCCGGUUUAAGCGUGUAGGCUGGUUUUCCAGGCAAAUCCGGAAAAUCAAGGCUGAGGCGUGAUGACGAGGCACUACGGUGCUGAAGCAACAAAUGCCCUGCUUCCAGGAAAAGCCUCUAAGCAUCAGGUAACAUCAAAUCGUACCCCAAACCGACACAGGUGGUCAGGUAGAGAAUACCAAGGCGCUUGAGAGAACUCGGGUGAAGGAACUAGGCAAAAUGGUGCCGUAACUUCGGGAGAAGGCACGCUGAUAUGUAGGUGAAGUCCCUCGCGGAUGGAGCUGAAAUCAGUCGAAGAUACCAGCUGGCUGCAACUGUUUAUUAAAAACACAGCACUGUGCAAACACGAAAGUGGACGUAUACGGUGUGACGCCUGCCCGGUGCCGGAAGGUUAAUUGAUGGGGUUAGCGCAAGCGAAGCUCUUGAUCGAAGCCCCGGUAAACGGCGGCCGUAACUAUAACGGUCCUAAGGUAGCGAAAUUCCUUGUCGGGUAAGUUCCGACCUGCACGAAUGGCGUAAUGAUGGCCAGGCUGUCUCCACCCGAGACUCAGUGAAAUUGAACUCGCUGUGAAGAUGCAGUGUACCCGCGGCAAGACGGAAAGACCCCGUGAACCUUUACUAUAGCUUGACACUGAACAUUGAGCCUUGAUGUGUAGGAUAGGUGGGAGGCUUUGAAGUGUGGACGCCAGUCUGCAUGGAGCCGACCUUGAAAUACCACCCUUUAAUGUUUGAUGUUCUAACGUUGACCCGUGAUCCGGGUUGCGGACAGUGUCUGGUGGGUAGUUUGACUGGGGCGGUCUCCUCCUAAAGAGUAACGGAGGAGCACGAAGGUUGGCUAAUCCUGGUCGGACAUCAGGAGGUUAGUGCAAUGGCAUAAGCCAGCUUGACUGCGAGCGUGACGGCGCGAGCAGGUGCGAAAGCAGGUCAUAGUGAUCCGGUGGUUCUGAAUGGAAGGGCCAUCGCUCAACGGAUAAAAGGUACUCCGGGGAUAACAGGCUGAUACCGCCCAAGAGUUCAUAUCGACGGCGGUGUUUGGCACCUCGAUGUCGGCUCAUCACAUCCUGGGGCUGAAGUAGGUCCCAAGGGUAUGGCUGUUCGCCAUUUAAAGUGGUACGCGAGCUGGGUUUAGAACGUCGUGAGACAGUUCGGUCCCUAUCUGCCGUGGGCGCUGGAGAACUGAGGGGGGCUGCUCCUAGUACGAGAGGACCGGAGUGGACGCAUCACUGGUGUUCGGGUUGUCAUGCCAAUGGCACUGCCCGGUAGCUAAAUGCGGAAGAGAUAAGUGCUGAAAGCAUCUAAGCACGAAACUUGCCCCGAGAUGAGUUCUCCCUGAGACUUUAAGUCUCCUGAAGGAACGUUGAAGACGACGACGUUGAUAGGCCGGGUGUGUAAGCGCAGCGAUGCGUUGAGCUAACCGGUACUAAUGAACCGUGAGGCUUAACCUU